Carlito syrichta (Philippine tarsier) is the source of this 832-nucleotide RNA transcript. It is a transcript of the gene named cation-dependent mannose-6-phosphate receptor pseudogene, with no coding region annotated. The transcript has a single exon. NCBI's taxonomy places the organism in Eukaryota, Metazoa, Chordata, Mammalia, Primates, Tarsiidae. The record is from RefSeq and is a predicted model, not a curated record.
GGUCUGCGGGUGGCCCCUAGCUGGCCGGAUCUCCCAGCCCCAGCCCGACACUCGCCGGGGGAUUCUGAGCUGUGGCUGCUCCACGUGCCCGCGACACGAUGCUCCCCUUCUACAGCAGGUGGAGAACUGGACUGCUGCUGCUGUUACUCCUGGCUGUGGCCGUGAGGGAAUCCUGGCAGACAGAAGAAAAAACUUGUGACCUGGUAGGAGAUAAGGGUAAAGAGUCCGAGAAAGAGUUGGCCCUAGUGAAUAGGCUGAAACCACUGUUUCACAGAAGCUUUGCAAAGAGCACCGUGGGCCAGGGCUCAGACACAGACAUCUACAUAUUCAGGGUGUGCCGGGAAGCUGGUAACCAAACCUCUGGGGCAGGCCUGGUGCAGAUCAACAAAAGUAAUUGGAAGGAGACAGUGGUAGGGAGGCUCAACGAGACUCAUGUCUUCAAUGGAAGGCAAUUUUAACCCUGUGUCAGAGGAGCGUGGCAAAGUCCAAGAUUGUUUCUACCUCUUUGAGAUGGAUAGCAGCCUGGGCUGUUCCCCAGAGAUCUCCCACCUCAGUGUGGGUUCUAUCUUACUUGUCACGUUUGCAUCACUGGUUGCUGUCUAUGUCAUUGGAGGGUUUCUGUACCAGCGACUGGUGGUAGGAGCCAAGGGAAUGGAGCAGUUUCCCCACUUAGCCUUCCGGUAAGAUCUUGGCAACCUGGUAGCAGAUGGUUGCGACUUUGUGUGCCGCUCUAAACCCUGAAAUGUGCCUGCAGCCUAUCGUGGUGUGGGAGGUGAUCAGCUGGGGGGGGGGGGAGUCAGAAGAGAGGGAUGACCAUUUAUUGCCAAUGUGA